AUCUUUGCGCAGUGGCAGUAUCGUAGCCCAUGAGGUACAUCCGAGGCGUGAUUAUUGCUGGUUGAAAACUUAACCCAAUACCCCGCCAAAUCUGCUUGAAAUAUUAGCGGGUUUGGCAAUUUUUGACAGUCUCAUAUGGGA
Molecule: small nuclear RNA, 141 nt
Organism: Anguilla rostrata (American eel)
Lineage: Eukaryota; Metazoa; Chordata; Actinopteri; Anguilliformes; Anguillidae
Product: U4 spliceosomal RNA
Exons: 1
Source: RefSeq, a predicted model, not a curated record